GAUGAACGCUGGCGGCAUGCCUAACACAUGCAAGUCGGACGAGCAGUGGUGUUUCCAGUGGCUGACGGGUGAGUAACGCGUAAGAACCUGCCCUUGGGAGGAGCACACCAGCUGGAAGCGGCUGCUAAUACCCCGUAGGCCGAGGAGCAAAAAGAGGAAUCCGCCCGAGGGGGGGCUUGCGUCUGAUUAGCUAGCUGGUGCGGGAAUAGCUGACCACGGCGAGGGUCCGGAGCUGGUACGAGAGGAUGAUCAGCCACACUGGGACUGAGACACGGACAAGACACCUACGGGAGGCAGCAGUAGGGAAGAUGCCGCAAUGGGCGAAAGCCUGACGAGGCAAUGCCGCGGUGAGGUAGAGUGCCCACGGGUCGUGAACUGCUUUUCUCGGUGAAGAAGCAUUGACGGUAUCUAGGCAGUAAGCAACGGCUAACUCUGUG
Molecule: ribosomal RNA, 437 nt
Filed under: uncultured bacterium
Lineage: Bacteria
Description: partial 16S ribosomal RNA
Rfam family: Bacterial small subunit ribosomal RNA
Source: RNAcentral